AAUCCAUGGUGAGGACAAGAUCUCAUCAGUUCCUUAUAUCACUCUCAUGCUUCAAAAAGAGAUUCAUUGUCCAUCUUCCUGAAGCAGGUAAUUUAAUUCUUUAACU
Small nucleolar RNA from Lathyrus oleraceus (garden pea), 106 nucleotides. NCBI's taxonomy places the organism in Eukaryota, Viridiplantae, Streptophyta, Magnoliopsida, Fabales, Fabaceae. The record is from RefSeq and is a predicted model, not a curated record.